This 478-nucleotide ribosomal RNA is filed under the name uncultured bacterium. RNAcentral's name for it is "partial 16S ribosomal RNA". It matches the Rfam family "Bacterial small subunit ribosomal RNA", at positions 28 to 523 of the family's 1533-position model. The record is from RNAcentral.
GACGAACGCUGGCGGCGUGCUUAACACAUGCAAGUCGAGCGAUGAAGUUCCUUCGGGAAUGGAUUAGCGGCGGACGGGUGAGUAACACGUGGGUAACCUGCCUCAUAGAGGGGAAUAGCCUUUCGAAAGGAAGAUUAAUACCGCACAAGAUUGUAGUAUCGCAUGAUACAGCAAUUAAAGGAGUAAUUCGCUAUGAGAUGGACCCGCGGCGCAUUAGCUAGUUGGUGAGGUAACGGCGCACCAAGGCGACGAUGCGUAGCCGACCUGAGAGGGUGAUCGGCCACAUUGGGACUGAGAAACGGCCCAGACUCCUACGGGAGGCAGCAGUGGGGAAUAUUGCACAAUGGGGGAAACCCUGAUGCAGCAACGCCGCGUGAGUGAUGACGGUCUUCGGAUUGUAAAACUCUGUCUUCAGGGACGAUAAUGACGGUACCUGAGGAGGAAGCCACGGCUAACUACGUGCCAGCCGCCGCCGUAA